This 1489-nucleotide ribosomal RNA is filed under the name Nitzschia putrida. Its description in RNAcentral is "bacterial SSU rRNA". It matches the Rfam family "Bacterial small subunit ribosomal RNA". The record is from RNAcentral. Lineage: Eukaryota; Bacillariophyta; Bacillariophyceae; Bacillariales; Bacillariaceae.
UUAUAUGAGAGUAUGAUCCUGGCUCAGGAUGAACGCUGGCGAAAUGCUUUACACAUGCAAGUUAUACUAAAAUUUUAAUUUAAGUAGCGAACGGGUGAGUAAUAUAUAAGAAUUUACCUUUAGGAGGGACAUAACUUUUAGAAAUAAUUGAUAAUAUCUCAUAUGCUUUUGAGUAAAAAAAUUUUAAUUUUGCCUAAAAAUAAGCUUAUAUCUGAUUAGCUAGUUGGUAAGAUAAUAGCUUACCAAGGCGAUGAUCAGUAUCUGGUUUGAGAGGAUGAUCAGACACAUUGGAACUGAGACACGGUCCAAACUUCUACGGAAGGCAGCAGUGAGGAAUUUUCCGCAAUGAGCGAAAGCUUGACGGAGCAAUUUCGCGUGAAGGAUUACAAUUUAACAAUUUUAAACUUCUUUUAUUAGUGAUGAAUAAAAUGACAUGUAACUAAAGAAUAAACAUCGGCUAACUUCGUGCCAGCAGCCGCGGUAAUACGGGGGAUGUUAGUGUUAUCCGGAAUUAUUGGGCGUAAAGCGUUUGUAGGUGGUUUAGUAAGUCAAAUAUUAAAUAUUAAAACUUAACUUUAAAAAUGUAAUUGAAACUACUAAACUAGAGUAUUAUAGAGGUAAGAGGAAUUUCCACAGAAGCGGUGGAAUGCGUUAAGAGUGGAAAGAACACCAAUAGCGAAAGCAUUUUACUGGAUUUCAACUGACAUUUAGAAACGAAAGCUAAGGUAUCAAAUGGGAUUAGAUACCCCAGUAGUCUUAAGCUGUAAACGAUAGAUACUAAAUAUUUAAUAGAUAAAUCUCUUUUAUAUUGAAGCUAACGCGUUAAGUAUCUCGCCUGAGAAUUACGCUCGCAAGAGUAAAACUCAAAGGAAUUGACGGGGGUCCGAACAAGCGGUGGAGCAUGUGGUUUAAUUCGAUGCAACGCGAUAAACCUUACCAGAAUUUGACAUAAUAUAAAUUUUUUUGAGAAAAAAAAGUGCUUUUAUUAACUAUAAUAAAUUGAAUAUAUAUACAGGUGGUGCAUGGCUGUCGACAGUUCGUGUCGUGAGAUGUUGGGUUCAGUCCCGUAACGAACGUAACCCUUAUUCUUAGUUGCUUUUGAACUCUAAGAAAACUACUGAUGAUAAGUCGGAGGAAGAAAAGGAUGACGUCAAGUCAUCAUGCCCCUUAUAUUCUGGGCUACACACGUGCUACAAUGGAUAAUACAAUAAGAUGCAAUCUUGUGAAAGUGAGCAAAUCUAUAAAAUUAUUCUAAGUUCAGAUUAUAGGCUGCAACUCGCCUAUAUGAAGUUGGAAUCGCUAGUAAUCGCUGAUCAGCAAUACAGCGGUGAAUACGUUCCCGGGUCUUGUACACACCGCCCGUCACACCAUGGAAGUAAAGAUUAUUUGAAUAUAUAUAUAUAUAAAUAUAUAGAAAGUGAGAUUUGUAACUGGGGUGAAGUCGUAACAAGGUAACUGUACUGGAAGGUGUAGUUGGAACAAUUUUAAU